Molecule: long non-coding RNA, 1391 nt
Organism: Gastrolobium bilobum
Lineage: Eukaryota; Viridiplantae; Streptophyta; Magnoliopsida; Fabales; Fabaceae
Exons: 3
Source: RefSeq, a predicted model, not a curated record
UACAUCAUCUCACUUUCUUCUUUCUCGUCAAUCUUCUCAGCCCCAAGGUUCGGUUAAAUAAAAAGGUUCUUUGUUUCCUCACAUUUCCGCCAUUGUCUUCUUUCAUCGUUCAACGAGGAUCUCCUUUCUCUGCCGCCAUUGCCUCCGAGCAAUCCAUCAAACUUAGGCACACAACGCUCAUCAUUUGCCCCCAAAAAAAGCCUUACCACCACCAAGUUAAUCACAAGAUCCUGAUUUCCUCAACUUCAUCGCGCUUUCAAAAUUCCAGUCCACUGAGUUGAUGAUUCUUUAUUUGCAUUGGCUGAAUCGCUAUGUGGCUGUGAAGAAUGGUAAGAAAUUUGAGAAUGAAGUGAAAUGGGGGAUUGACUUGGCAUCUGAGCAUGAAAGGUAUUUUGCCAGUUUGUGCUUUCAAGUUCUUGUUCUUAUUGACUUGGGGAAAAUGAUAUCUAGUGGGCAUGGUGUUUAAGCAGAUACCUUACAGAUGUGGAUACAGAUGAACAUUACCAACCAAAUAUUUCUAUUGGGAUACUUCAUGUGGCUCUUAGACAGAUGAUGUGAAGGCUCUCUGCCUGAAUCAGUAGCAUAAUGACUUCUUAUACUUCUUUGCUGAUAACCUGUUUUGGUACUCUGGUCAAAUCUUUUGUACAGGGAAGAUGAACCUCAAGGAUUUCACAUUGGGUUUGUCAAUUAAUACUCAUGCAUGGAUUAUGCAAUCUCCUUUUUCCCCCUUUCGAUUAUUUUGUUUGCUCUUUUUGUUAGGUAUUCAGGAUAAAGGCUGGUCUGUUGCUGGUUUGGUGAUAUUACCUUUUCAAUUUUCCUUUAGCAUGAAUCUUAUUUUGUAACCUUAAAGGGGUACAAUGAAAUCACAAAAAUGGUUCCUUUAUUUAUUUAUUUAUUUUUAUGCAGUUCAUGUAUCUCGUGUUUGAAUUGGUGGCCAUUUUAGGGGCGAGCCAGAAUGAUUGGUUUUGUAUUCUAUUUUUUAAUGAAGCUCAAUUCACAUUUUCAUUUGGUUAUAUAAGCUAUAACCAUAAAGUAAAUUACAGGUAGCAUUAGUAGGAUGUGUAUUAUGUUUUAAAGUUGAAAAAUCAGAGAACUGAUCGGACUAUUGCUUUGGUGAAUCAGUAUUAGUUUUUCUCGGUAACCACAAUUCUAACUUAUUGUUGUUGAUGCUGUAAGAAAUUGGCCAUUCAAGUUAACUUUUAACACUCAAAUGUUCUAGUAGGAUUAAGUCUUAUAAAAUGAAGGUUGCAAAACUUUUAUUUGUAUGCUGUUGGCAUGCCUUUCUAGGCCAUUUGGCUAAGAUCAAGUGUGCUGUUGGCAUAUGAUGACACAUUAAAUGUCGUACAUGCAUAGGGCUGAAUAGUGUGUGCCAAUAUAUUAUAGAUGGACAU